CACAGAUAGAAGCUUGCUUAAGUAGAAGUAUAAUAUAUGCAAUAAAUCUGAAGAAAAUCACUAGCAUUGGUAACAGACUUGGCUCAUGGAGCACAAUAGCACCUACAGUUCUGUGGCCAAAAAUAAUGAAGUUUAAGAAGAAUUGACUGGAUUAUGGAAACAUUUCUAUAAAGCCAUGUGUGCAUCAGCAGAUGCCCACCACCUACUUAGGAACCGAUGGCACGAAAAGCCUGAAAGGAGGAUGCAGCCCUCUGGUUCUGAGACACAGAUGCAUUUAGAGGAGCUGAAAUCAGCUACAGAUCUAUUACCCCAAAUGGAAACUACUACAGUAGCCCAUGCAUUGCGGAGUGAGCACAGUGAGGCUGCACUGUUCUGAGAGCAAGAGUAGGAGGGGGCAUUUACUCAGAGGACAGCAUGUGCCAUCCCAUAUCAGAAGGGUACGGAUCUCUUACAGUUUACCUGUCUUUUUCAGUUUUCUAUCACAUGGGGCAGAAACUCAAUUCUGUGGAUGUGCAGCAGCAGUCUGCCAGCCAUGGAGAUCUUGCACAUCACGUGAGUCCACAUAAUUAUCCUCCCAUGUAUUUUUUCUUCUAGGCACUCAAAGAAACCACUCAUUAGAAAAAACACAGACUGCU
RNAcentral lists this long non-coding RNA (635 nucleotides) under Gallus gallus (chicken). Lineage: Eukaryota; Metazoa; Chordata; Aves; Galliformes; Phasianidae. The record is from RNAcentral.